Molecule: long non-coding RNA, 1695 nt
Organism: Uranotaenia lowii
Lineage: Eukaryota; Metazoa; Arthropoda; Insecta; Diptera; Culicidae
Exons: 3
Source: RefSeq, a predicted model, not a curated record
GUUUGUUAUGCUUGGGUUGCUUCGUUCGAAAGACGGCGGCAGGUAAGCUAUCCAAUUUGUUGAUUAAUAUUUUUACCGUCACGGGCUCGCAAGGCCCGCAGCUAACUCAAUUUUCUUUCAAGGACCGUCGUGACGUUGCUCUUUUGAUUCCCGAACAUCACCAAGACGUUGUUGCACGCCGCCCCUGACAUGGAGAAAAGACGCGUGUGGAGCCCCCAAUCACAGUUUGUAUGCGACCAAAACAUCUACCGGGAUUGGGUAUCCGAUCUACUCGCACCCCAGCCGGCACAACGGGGAGGUUGAGAAGAGGUGAUAUGAACACUACCCGAAGGUUGGGUGUAUGGUGUUCAGAGUGACCUAUCAUUCGCCUGCAGCCAGCCAGGCCGUCGCAGGAAAACUGGAAAACUGCUUUCUGAUCUAUUCUGUCUGACAUAGCAUUCGGAACGGACAAAAAUUUGUACGAUAGAAUAAUUUGCUGCAGCUUUGGAAAAACAGUUUCAAAUGUCUGGAAUGUUGUUGGUCCAAAAGAUUCGAUUCACGUGGUUUAUUUCCGACUAAAAUGAAGCUAGUCAUCCACCGUGCCGAAUAAGGAAAAAGCAUUAUAUUUGCCGAUGUUGCUCAUCCGGAUCAAACGAGCUCUUAAAUGCUAUGGCCGUUUCGUUCUUGCUUUGAUGAAGUAGUAUGAAAAAUAAUGGAUCAUUAAAAAAUUGAAGGGAAUUAGGUAGGUUUUUUUUUUUUUAAUUCUAUUCAAAUUCUAGUAAAGGCGAAUAAUACAUUUCUGUUAUCUAACAUCAUUCGUAUAGGAACACGGAGACUCUGGCGAUAGGAUGUUCGUUUGAAGCCGCCCGGUUGAAGCUAAGAUUUAUCUACUGCAACAAAAUUUAAAUUUCUGCAAGCAGUAGUGCAUCGGCAGCAAAAAGAAUGAGUCGAAAUAAUUGUAAAAAGAAAUUGAAUCAGGAUAAGGAACCGAAAAAUAGAAUGGGUUCCUCGAGUCAUGUAGUGAAUUUGACUCUGACUUGGUAAGCGAUUUCGUUGCAUAGUUUUAACCAAGAAAAACCCUCACAGACAAUUUAAACUCACGGCCCGAUUUAAAACGGAUUAUCGUAGCUACCGAAACGUGAAGUGGUGAUGCACUUUCCGGAGAUGACAUAUGACAAUUGAUGCAUCCAUGGUUGACUUGGCGGUUCUAAGUUGAGAGUAAUUCUCGAAGGCUCCAUCGAAAGCCAUUCGUUUUUUUACAUAAGAUAAAGAAUUAACUUUUUAAUACUAAGCGUUUAAAACCUCAAGUUCCAUUGAAUUUGACCCAUCGACGAGGUUAGAUGAAUAACGAGUGCGAUAGUACUGACUGAAUCAAAUUCGAUUUUUCGAUUCGAAUCGAUAUUUAACAGUGGUGGAAGUCGUCUGUUUCCUAAUUUACAUAAAUGUAGGUUCAAAGCUAGCCUUAUUUAGAAUAAUUGAAAUUUUUUUAAGGUUUAUUUAUGACACUUUACCACCUUGUGGCAUUCGUGUCUAAGAAUAAUUGAAUGAUUUUUGUAUUUUGUAUGAUAUGAAAUAGCAAGGCAAUGCACUUUAACAGUAGAGUUAAGUUUGAAAAAAAAUUCCUGUGAAAUGAUAAAUACAACCUAACACACCAAUACCUAACGUGUGUAUGAAGUCGAUGAAUGGUUAACAAUAGUUAUCUUUACACAAAAGCGC